GUAGGGAAUAUUGCGCAAUGGGGGAAACCCUGACGCAGCGACGCCGCGUGAGUGAUGAAGGCCUUCGGGUCGUAAAGCUCUGUUGCAGGGGAAUAAAAAAAUGAAGGUACCCUGUGAGGAAGGAUCGGCUAACUUCGUGCCAGCAGCCGCGGUAAGACGAGGGAUCCUAGCGUUGCUCGGAAUCAUUGGGCGUAAAGAGGGCGUAGGUGGCUUGGUAAGUCAGGUGUGAAAGCCCAGGGCUCAACCCUGGAAGUGCAUUUGAUACUGCUGAGCUUGAGUGUCGGAGAGGUUACCGGAAUACCUGGUGUAGUGGUGAAAUACGUAGAUAUCAGGUGGAACACCGGAGGCGAAGGCGGGUAACUGGACGAACACUGACACUGAGGCCCGAAAGCGUGGGGAUCAAACAGGAUUAGAUACACCAGUAGUCC
This 428-nucleotide ribosomal RNA is filed under the name uncultured bacterium. RNAcentral describes it as "partial 16S ribosomal RNA". It matches the Rfam family "Bacterial small subunit ribosomal RNA", at positions 354 to 796 of the family's 1533-position model. The record is from RNAcentral.